RNAcentral lists this ribosomal RNA (253 nucleotides) under uncultured bacterium. Its description in RNAcentral is "partial 16S ribosomal RNA". It matches the Rfam family "Bacterial small subunit ribosomal RNA", at positions 524 to 776 of the family's 1533-position model. The record is from RNAcentral.
UACGUAGGUGGCAAGCGUUGUCCGGAAUUACUGGGCGUAAAGGGCGCGUAGGCGGCAGCUUAAGUCAGAUGUGAAAACCCGGGGCUCAACCUCGGAACUGCAUUUGAAACUGGGCAGCUAGAGUGUCGGAGAGGAAAGCGGAAUUCCUAGUGUAGCGGUGAAAUGCGUAGAUAUUAGGAGGAACACCAGUGGCGAAGGCGGCUUUCUGGACGAUAACUGACGCUGAGGCGCGAAAGCGUGGGGAGCAAACAGG